This 490-nucleotide ribosomal RNA is filed under the name uncultured bacterium. RNAcentral describes it as "partial 16S ribosomal RNA". It matches the Rfam family "Bacterial small subunit ribosomal RNA", at positions 30 to 507 of the family's 1533-position model. The record is from RNAcentral.
AUUGAACGCUGGCGGCAUGCCUUACACAUGCAAGUCGAACGGCAGCAUGAUCUAGCUUGCUAGAUUGAUGGCGAGUGGCGAACGGGUGAGUAAUACAUCGGAACGUGCCCUGUAGUGGGGGAUAACUAGUCGAAAGAUUAGCUAAUACCGCAUACGACCUGAGGGUGAAAGUGGGGGACCGCAAGGCCUCAUGCUAUAGGAGCGGCCGAUGUCUGAUUAGCUAGUUGGUGAGGUAAAGGCUCACCAAGGCGACGAUCAGUAGCUGGUCUGAGAGGACGAUCAGCCACACUGGGACUGAGACACGGCCCAGACUCCUACGGGAGGCAGCAGUGGGGAAUUUUGGACAAUGGGCGAAAGCCUGAUCCAGCAAUGCCGCGUGUGUGACGAAGGCCUUCGGGUUGUAAAGCACUUUUGUCCGGAAAGAAAUGGCUCUGGUUAAUACCUGGGGUCGAUGACGGUACCGGAAGAAUAAGGACCGGCUAACUACGUG